RNAcentral lists this ribosomal RNA (497 nucleotides) under uncultured bacterium. Its description in RNAcentral is "partial 16S ribosomal RNA". It matches the Rfam family "Bacterial small subunit ribosomal RNA", at positions 28 to 507 of the family's 1533-position model. The record is from RNAcentral.
GAUGAACGCUGGCGGCGUGCCUAAUACAUGCAAGUCGAGCGAACAGACGAGGAGCUUGCUCCUCUGCCGUUAGCGGCGGUCGGGUGAGUAAAACGUGGAUAAACUCCCUAUAAGACUGGGAUAUCUUCGGGAAACCGGAGCUAAUACCGGAUAAUAUAUUGCACAGCAUGGUUCAAUAGUGAAAGACGGUUUUGAUGUCACUUAUAGAUGGAUCCGCGCCGCAUUCGCUAGUUGGUAAGGUAGCGGCUUACCAAGGCGACGAUGCGUAGCGGACCUGAGAGGGUGGUCGGCCACACGGGAAGAGAGACAGGCUCCAGACUCCGACGGUAGGCAGCAGUAGGGAAUCUUCCGCAAUGGACGAAAGCCUGACGGUGCAACGCCGCGUGAGUGAUGAAGGUCUUCGGAUCGUAAAACUCUGUUAUUAGGGAAGAACAAAUGUGUAAGUAACAAUGCACGUCUUGACGGUACCUAAGCAGAAAGCCACGGCUAACUACGUG